UACGGAGGAUCCAAGCGUUAUCCGGAUUUAUUGGGUUUAAAGGGUGCGUAGGCGGAAUUGUAAGUCAGUGGUGAAAGCCCUUCGCUUAACGAAGGAACUGCCAUUGAUACUGCAAAUCUUGAGUACAUUUGACGAGGGCGGAAUGUGUCAUGUAGCGGUGAAAUGCUUAGAUAUGACACAGAACACCGAUUGCGAAGGCAGCUCUCGAAACUGUAACUGACGCUGAGGCACGAAAGCGUGGGUAUCAAACAGGAUUAGAUACCCUGGUAGUCCACGCUGUAAACCAUGAUUACUCGAUGUUUGCGAUACACUGUAAGCGUCUAAGCGAAAGCGAUAAGUAAUCCACCUGGGGAGUACGCUCGCAAGAGUGAA
Molecule: ribosomal RNA, 372 nt
Filed under: uncultured bacterium
Lineage: Bacteria
Description: bacterial SSU rRNA
Rfam family: Bacterial small subunit ribosomal RNA
Source: RNAcentral